AGAGCUUUAGCUUAAUUCAAGUACCUGUUUUGCAUGCAGGAGAUGUAGGAUAAUGGCCUGCAAGUUCUA
RNAcentral lists this transfer RNA (69 nucleotides) under Anisotremus scapularis. RNAcentral describes it as "tRNA-Ala". It matches the Rfam family "tRNA". Rfam says of the family: Transfer RNA (tRNA) molecules are approximately 80 nucleotides in length. Their secondary structure includes four short double-helical elements and three loops (D, anti-codon, and T loops). The record is from RNAcentral. Lineage: Eukaryota; Metazoa; Chordata; Actinopteri; Lutjaniformes; Haemulidae.